RNAcentral lists this ribosomal RNA (641 nucleotides) under uncultured bacterium. RNAcentral describes it as "bacterial SSU rRNA". It matches the Rfam family "Bacterial small subunit ribosomal RNA", at positions 188 to 848 of the family's 1533-position model. The record is from RNAcentral.
GCAUGGCUCGGUGCGAAAAACUCCGGUGGUAUAAGAUGGACCCGCGUUGGAUUAGCUAGUUGGUGAGGUAACGGCCCACCAAGGCGACGAUCCAUAGCCGGCCUGAGAGGGUGAACGGCCACAUUGGGACUGAGACACGGCCCAGACUCCUACGGGAGGCAGCAGUGGGGAAUAUUGCACAAUGGGGGAAACCCUGAUGCAGCGACGCCGCGUGAAGGAAGAAGUAUCUCGGUAUGUAAACUUCUAUCAGCAGGGAAGAAAAUGACGGUACCUGACUAAGAAGCCCCGGCUAACUACGUGCCAGCAGCCGCGGUAAUACGUAGGGGGCAAGCGUUAUCCGGAUUUACUGGGUGUAAAGGGAGCGUAGACGGAUGGACAAGUCUGAUGUGAAAGGCUGGGGCUCAACCCCGGGACUGCAUUGGAAACUGCCCGUCUUGAGUGCCGGAGAGGUAAGCGGAAUUCCUAGUGUAGCGGUGAAAUGCGUAGAUAUUAGGAGGAACACCAGUGGCGAAGGCGGCUUACUGGACGGUAACUGACGUUGAGGCUCGAAAGCGUGGGGAGCAAGCAGGAUUAGAUACCCUGGUAGUCCACGCGGUAAACGAUGAAUGCUAGGUGUCGGGGAGCAAAGCUCUUCGGUGCCG